This 262-nucleotide long non-coding RNA is filed under the name Elaeis guineensis (African oil palm). RNAcentral describes it as "long non-coding RNA (EGUI_LNC073977)". Lineage: Eukaryota; Viridiplantae; Streptophyta; Magnoliopsida; Arecales; Arecaceae. The record is from RNAcentral.
CGGUAAUGCACGCCGCGACAAAGGCAGGGUGAAUUCUGACUAUGGAUCAGCCUUCUGAUUGUCGUGUGAUGCGACGGUCGAGAACUUAAGUCGAACACCUGUUACCUAGACGUGAGUCGGGUGCGUUCGUUGAGUCGAAGGUCGAUUGACCUCCGGACAUAACUUGAUGGCCGGAUCAUUCCGUAGGGUCCGAUAGUCGAAUGUCGUCCGACGCAUUUAGUCGGAGAAACAAUGACAAGUCGAGUUUUCAUUACCCAGAUCU